Molecule: ribosomal RNA, 253 nt
Filed under: Francisella tularensis
Lineage: Bacteria; Pseudomonadati; Pseudomonadota; Gammaproteobacteria; Thiotrichales; Francisellaceae
Description: partial ribosomal RNA
Rfam family: Bacterial small subunit ribosomal RNA
Source: RNAcentral
GGGAAUAUUGGACAAUGGGGGCAACCCUGAUCCAGCAAUGCCAUGUGUGUGAAGAAGGCCCUAGGGUUGUAAAGCACUUUAGUUGGGGAGGAAAGCCUCAAGGUUAAUAGCCUUGGGGAGGACGUUACCCAAAGAAUAAGCACCGGCUAACUCCGUGCCAGCAGCCGCGGUAAUACGGGGGGUGCAAGCGUUAAUCGGAAUUACUGGGCGUAAAGGGUCUGUAGGUGGUUUGUUAAGUCAGAUGUGAAAGCCC